Molecule: ribosomal RNA, 603 nt
Filed under: uncultured fungus
Lineage: Eukaryota; Fungi
Description: eukaryotic LSU rRNA
Rfam family: Eukaryotic large subunit ribosomal RNA
Source: RNAcentral
ACCCGCUGAACUUAAGCAUAUCAAUAAGCGGAGGAAAAGAAACCAACAGGGAUUGCCCUAGUAACGGCGAGUGAAGCGGCAACAGCUCAAAUUUGAAAUCUGGCGUCUUUGGCGUCCGAGUUGUGAUUUGCAGAGGGCGCUUUGGCAUUGGCAGCGGUCCAAGUUCCUUGGAACAGGACGUCACAGAGGGUGAGAAUCCCGUACGUGGUCGCUAGCCUUUACCGUGUAAAGCCCCUUCGACGAGUCGAGUUGUUUGGGAAUGCAGCUCUAAAUGGGAGGUAAAUUUCUUCUAAAGCUAAAUACUGGCCAGAGACCGAUAGCGCACAAGUAGAGUGAUCGAAAGAUGAAAAGCACUUUGGAAAGAGAGUUAAAAAGCACGUGAAAUUGUUGAAAGGGAAGCGCUUGCAGCCAGACUUGCCUGUAGUUGCUCAUCCGGGUUUUUACCCGGUGCACUCUUCUAUAGGCAGGCCAGCAUCAGUUUGGGCGGUUGGAUAAAGGUCUCUGUCAUGUACCUCUCUUCGGGGAGAACUUAUAGGGGAGACGACAUGCAACCAGCCCGGACUGAGGUCCGCGCAUCUGCUAGGAUGCUGGCGUAAUGGCUGU